AUUCCAGCUCCAAUAGCGUAUAUUAAAGUUGUUGCAGUUAAAAAGCUCGUAGUUGGAUUUCAGUCUUAAUUCGUCUGGCCCGCUCCCUUGAGGAGCCGAGUGCCGGUUGCGAAUUGGACUUCCUUCUAGCAUGAAUCUCCUACCGUUAUGCGGCCGGGAAGGACAUCUGGAUCAUUUACUUUGAAGAAAUUAGAGUGUUCAAAGCAAGCUUACGCUGUGAAUAUAUUAGCAUGGAAUAAUAACAUAGGACUCGGGUUCUAUUUUGUUGGUUUCUAGGACUCAAGUAAUGAUUGAUAGGGACAGUUGGGGGUGCUGCUAUUAUAUGGCCAGAGGUGAAAUUCACGGAUUCAUAUAAGAGCAACUUAUGCGAAAGCAUUCACCAAGGAUGUCUUCAUUA
This 397-nucleotide ribosomal RNA is filed under the name Chlorarachniophyceae sp. RNAcentral's name for it is "partial small subunit ribosomal RNA". It matches the Rfam family "Eukaryotic small subunit ribosomal RNA", at positions 582 to 975 of the family's 1831-position model. The record is from RNAcentral. Lineage: Eukaryota; Cercozoa; Chlorarachniophyceae.